Xenopus tropicalis (tropical clawed frog) is the source of this 440-nucleotide long non-coding RNA. RefSeq lists it as uncharacterized. The transcript has 4 exons. The record is from RefSeq and is a predicted model, not a curated record. Lineage: Eukaryota; Metazoa; Chordata; Amphibia; Anura; Pipidae.
UCUGCUGCCACCAAGUGGCCGGCAUCUCCCCUAUAAAUACCUGCUCAGAAGGCCUGGCCAGCCUAUAUAAAAUGGCUGCUCUAAAAGCAACAGGUUUCUUUUUGGUAAAAGCCCAGAAGUGCAUGGACAAAAAGAGAAGACUGAAAUGAAGAGUAAAGGAUCUGAGAUUCUCUGUUCACUAAAACAGAUGCCUCACCCAGUGAAGAAUAUCCAUAAAGGAGCCUGAAAAGAACAAGACAGUGGUGGCACAGUUAUGAGCAGACUGUUUGCUGGAUCAGAUUCUACUGGGCCGUUUUCCCAUCACAAUGACGGAUUUUCUGUCAGUUGUCUAAAUUGUGUUUCUGGAAAUUCUAAUAUUAAGGACUGUAUGUUUUGGAAAUUGUAUGUAUUAAACCUUUUUACAACUUUUUUUUUUCUUGGUUUAGUCUUUGGUUCUAAAA